Long non-coding RNA from Amphiprion ocellaris (clown anemonefish), 2748 nucleotides. RefSeq lists it as uncharacterized. The record is from RefSeq and is a predicted model, not a curated record. NCBI's taxonomy places the organism in Eukaryota, Metazoa, Chordata, Actinopteri, Pomacentridae. The transcript has 3 exons.
CUAAACCGUCGGAGAAACGCUCUGAACAGCGACGUGUGUGUAUAUCGAGCAGGAGAGCAUGCUAGCUGAUGGCUAACACUUAAAUUAGCGUCCUUGGAACGGCGGAAUGAGUUUUCACGGUGCUUAUGGUACACGGUGCUGCUCGAGAGUGAGAAUAAAUCCACACCCGUUUGAAACUGCGUCUUGCUGAGUGAAUCCAAGGGGCCGCUACAAUAACUAAGUUCCUCAUUACAAAAACACCUCUCAAGGAAGUGUGCUAAUUCCAGAUCACAUGACCUGCUCCACAUGAUGUCAUUUCCUUCUGAAGAAAAGACUGCUCCGACAGGGGCCGUUGGAGAGAUACCGUCAUCCCCAGAGACAGGUGGCUGCAUUCCAGAUCCAGCAGCCAGGUCGAAGUCUCCAGUAGGAAAAAUGGGUCCCACGCUGCUGUUCUCGCCCCUUCCAAAGGAGUCUUCCUUUACAGGAAGAUCCUUCGUUGGGUCUUCUGGCUCCUCUGUCCUCACCUCUGUGGUAACGCCAGUGGCUGAUGGAGUUGCAGCUUCUUCCUCCUCCCCAGGAGCCCCUUCCCCAGGGGCUGCUGUUGUGUGACCAGCCUCACUCUCAGUGGCGUCCUCGGGUUGAGAUUUUGGAGUCGUCUCCGGUCCCUCCUCGCCUUCUGCUGGUGUCAGAGCCUCAGGCUGUGCUGAGGGCUCAGCUGAUUGGAAAACAGACGAGGUCAUGCAUGAUUAAAGUCACGCAUGAGUACAGCCAAGCCAAGUCAUUUACAUGGCACAUUUACAACAGCUACUGAGCCAAAACGGUUUAAUAAUCCAUGAAUACAAUUAAGUUAAACCCUACAGUAUUAUUUAUUUUAAUUUACCAGAGUAAUUCAAGUACUGUGGUUAAAAUUAUUAUUAUUAUUAUUAUUAUUAUUAUUAUUAUUAUUAUUAUUAUUAUUAUUAUUAUUAUUUCUAACCAGAUUAAUAAAAUCCGAAAAUAUUAACAUUAGUGCAAGGUUUAGACCCUGGACAAUAUUAUAGAAAAUACUAAUUAAUGUCUACAAUACAAUAUACUCAACAUACAAAACUUGUAGCUUUUUAUAUAUUUUGUAAGCAAUCAACCAUCUUUUAAAAAGAAAAACUGACAGUAUCUAUCAUGCCUUACAGCCUAAUUACAUUCCCUUUGGGGAUUUAAAUCUUUUGCUUUUGUAAUCUAAUCUUAUCGCACAGUGACAAUUAGUUUUUGUGCUAAGUUACAGUGCAAAGUUACACAAAAUGGCUGAGUGACUUUUCCAGUAAAGCUGAACUGUUCACAGUGCUGUAGUCAGUCAUUCCUCAUACAGUGCUGCAUAAUAUAGUUUAAAUAGGUAGAGCUAAAUUACUGAACAGUCCUUUGACAGGAUCAUGUCUGAAUGUGACCCAAAUUAUUCUCAUUGCUCACAGUAUUUGUUUUAGUACAAGGUUUUAGUGUAACAUUUUACAUUUUUUCACAUCCCCAUGUAAAUGUGUACAUAGUAAUUUAUUUUAGCAUUUUGCCUUAACGAAUCAUAAUUUUUUUUGUAAUUCUGUCCUUUGCAGAAUAAUCCACAAACUAAUAGCCGUAAUGAGGCCAUGUUAAAUUCUAACACUGCUAAUGAAUGGUUUGACUGUUGUACUUAGAGCUGAAACAGGAUACUCAGUGGCUGGGACCUUUUAUGAGCACUCAUUGCCAUAAAAAGUAACCUCACUCGGUGGUUUUUUGUUCAGCCGAAUAGAAUUUGGGUUAACCACAUGUCCCGCCUCAGGUAUCAUCACUAGGAGCUGAGAGUUGACUGUUGACUACACAGAGAUGAGGUCAUUUGGUAACUAGACUGACUUGUUCUAAGAGGUUUCCUUUACUCUAUUUACAGGUCAGAAAAUUAUAUAAUCCUGCAAAAUAAUCUUUCCUGUUAGCUUAAUGAUUGACGUCAUAUAAAAUACAUCAUCUUCCUGCUUUGGUGUCCGUUCACUGUAUAUUGGUGUUUACAUUUUGAAUGUUAAAUGUAUGAGAAGGUGAAUGAGCAUAGUGCACUGACCUGGUUCGUCUGAGGGUAACUGUUCAUUUAUUGUAAAUGCUUUCGAACAGUUCUUCUCAGGCCCAUCUGACACAUGGAGGAACAGGAAGACAACGUUACCAAAACAGAAGCAAAUCACAAAGUCCAUGCAAAAACGAACGUGAAUUUAUAUGGCAAUUUGUGUAGCAGCAUUUCACUGUGCAGAUCAAGUGUGAGUAUUUCCUGUGGGUAAAGUCACCUGUUUCAUCAUAGCAGUAGGCAUCAUAUCGAUCUCCUUCUUCUAUGCGUGAAUGAGUAAUCAACCCAGUCAUGUUCUUUGCGCAGUUCUCGUGUGGUGUGUGUCUGAGGAUGGCAGUGCUCCCAUUGUUGUUCCAGCCGUUCCUGAACGGACAUAAGAAAUAUUAGAAGCUGUAAACAUUUGCUGAAACGGAAAGGAAUCCGUCUCCAAGUUGCCAAGUCUAAGGCCAUUACAUCACUAAACAGCUGGUGGUUUCCUUUACUGUAUUUGGAAGUGCGAUGGUUACCAAGUGCACGUGAAUUUCAAGUUAUGUUAGAGGAUUUCACACUGAUUAGUGUAACAGUGUAUAUGUAAUUAAAUAAUUCCACUUGCUACAGUUUGGUCGUAUUUGUUGUUGGCUCGGUGGCGCCCUCUCUGGAGCUGUGGUGUGCGGCUGGCGUUGAUGGCACGCUGUCAGUUCUGGAGAGACGUGCAUGAGAAAUAAACGGCAAAACAAAAA